GAUGAAGAACGCAGCGAAAUGCGAUAAGUAAUGCGAAUUGCAGAAUUCAGUGAGUCAUCGAAUCUUUGAACGCACAUUGCGCCCUGUGGUAUUCCGCAGGGCAUGCCUGUUCGAGCGUCAUUUCAACCCUCAAGCUCUGCUUGGUGUUGGGCCCCACCCGCUCGCGGCCGGCCCUAAAGACAGUGGCGGCAGCGCCUGGCUCCAAGCGUAGUACAGCUCUCGCUCUGGGGCUAGGCGGUAGCCUGCCAGAACCCCCCUUCUAUGGUUGACCUCGGAUCAGGUAGGGAUACCCGCUGAACUUAAGCAUAUCAAUAAGCGGAGGA
RNAcentral lists this unclassified non-coding RNA (323 nucleotides) under soil metagenome. Its description in RNAcentral is "partial contains 5.8S ribosomal RNA, internal transcribed spacer 2, and large subunit ribosomal RNA". The stretch from base 1 to 120 matches the Rfam family "5.8S ribosomal RNA", at positions 35 to 154 of the family's 154-position model. The record is from RNAcentral.